GAUGAACGCUGGCGGCGUGCCUAAUACAUGCAAGUCGAGCGAACAGACGAGGAGCUUGCUCCUCUGACGUUAGCGGCGGACGGGUGAGUAACACGUGGAUAACCUACCUAUAAGACUGGGAUAACUUCGGGAAACCGGAGCUAAUACCGGAUAAUAUAUUGAACCGCAUGGUUCAAUAGUGAAAGACGGUUUUGCUGUCACUUAUAGAUGGAUCCGCGCCGCAUUAGCUAGUUGGUAAGGUAACGGCUUACCAAGGCAACGAUGCGUAGCCGACCUGAGAGGGUGAUCGGCCACACUGGAACUGAGAAACGGUCCAGACUCCUGCGGGAGGCAGCAGUAGGGAAUCUUCCGCAAGGGGCGAAAGCCUGACGGAGCAACGCCGCGUGAGUGAUGAAGGUCUUCGGAUCGUAAAACUCUGUUAUUAGGGAAGAACAAAUGUGUAAGUAACUAUGCACGUCUUGACGGUACCUAAUCAGAAAGCCACGGCUAACUACGUG
This 497-nucleotide ribosomal RNA is filed under the name uncultured bacterium. RNAcentral describes it as "partial 16S ribosomal RNA". It matches the Rfam family "Bacterial small subunit ribosomal RNA", at positions 28 to 507 of the family's 1533-position model. The record is from RNAcentral.